AUGUCACCUCAAACUUCACACGGGCACAGCUGGACUCACACACAAUGUGAGCUUCUCUUUCUUAGUCACUGUUGGCCACUGUCAUUUAUUCAGUUGCUAAAGCAACUCAUCCCGCACCCAAACCCCCAGUAAGUCUCUCUGCACCCACUCUUAGCGCACCCUCAGUGUGUCCAUUUCUUUUCAGAUCUGUGUCUGCCACCUUAGCUAAGGCGGCUUGAAUCCCUUGUCCCAUUGUGGGUCAUAACCGUAUAAGUGGUCACACAACUGAAUGUGGGGGUUGCAAAAAAUUUGGCAUCAGAAAAGGGUUUGUAAAUGUGCAAUGGCCGAAAACAAAUUCCAAGUCAAACGUUUAAUGAAUGCAAGGCAUUUCUGGCAGUGCUUGUCCCUGUGGAAUCAUGUCACCUCGCUGCAGCCUGGGCUAGACCACAGAGCGCUCAGCUGUGCAAAGUCCAUGCCACCAAGCUGCUGCCAGUGUUGUAUGGUAUUAUUAAUUGCCUCAUUCUUAAUGUAUAGGUUUCUGUUCUUACAAAAACAUAAUGGUUUAAUUACAGAGAAAAACUGCUUUAAAUGUUUUUCUCCUGGCAUUCCAAUAUGAGUAUUGAACAAAUAUAUCUUUGGAGUGCAUCGUAUGAGAAUUUAAAAUUGAUUUUAACAUUGUUGUUCGAGGUGCUGGCUAAGUCCCAUAGACAUAGUUGUUCAAUAAAUUUUGGCUUGAGAUCGUGAUAGAGCGUACAAAUUCCAGAACGCCCUGAGUGUGUUCCUGCCGCUGUGUUACAGAUUUAUACAAAGUAGUUCUCAGAAUUGGCUAUUAUAAAAUCAAAGUAUUGAUCAGCUUCGAGAACCUUCGGAGGUGCUUCACACCCAACAGCAUCACCUUUAUUGCUAAAUGUACUUUUUUUUUGUAA
This 905-nucleotide long non-coding RNA is filed under the name Rattus norvegicus (Norway rat). RNAcentral describes it as "long non-coding RNA NONRATT014175". The record is from RNAcentral. Lineage: Eukaryota; Metazoa; Chordata; Mammalia; Rodentia; Muridae.